Molecule: long non-coding RNA, 1233 nt
Organism: Salmo salar (Atlantic salmon)
Lineage: Eukaryota; Metazoa; Chordata; Actinopteri; Salmoniformes; Salmonidae
Source: RefSeq, a predicted model, not a curated record
CCUGUGUUUUUGUAUAGUGUUUGUUUGGUCUUCAUCCCCGUGCCUUUACACGGCACGCCGUAAUUGGGGCUUAAUAAAAAUAAAAAAUACACAUUCCUGCGCCUGUCUCCCGAUCCUUCAUACCAGCCUGACAGAAUAAUCGACCAUUAAGGGAGACAGCGGGACUGGCCCGUCCGAUGAUGCUGCGACUGGUCCGUCCGGCACCGCCUCAACUUCGGCAGCUGCAACUGGGUCGUCCGACGUCGCCACAACGGGUCCGUCUGACGACACAACUUCCGCAGCUACAACCGGCCCGUCCGACGGCACUGCUACUGGCCCGUCCGAUGCUGCCGCAACUUGAUCGACCCGCACUGCGUUCCUGUGAUCGUCCUCGAGGCGAGAAGUUGUCAGGGACGAGAUCAAGUCCAGACUCAUCGUGGAGAAGAAACCUUAAGCAUACAACCAUGCCGACAACCAUCCGUGAAGUGGACAAAGGGCUGGACAACGGGCCGCACUGAAAAAAACGCAUGGUUCCCAAGAAAGCGGCCACUGUAAUUGAUGAGGGCUCAGGGCAAUACCAUUCUGCUCACCUGAUGAAGGUGCACAUGGAUCAGAUUCAAACUUUGAAGACCGAGAUCGAGUCAAUGAAGGCAGACCAGCAGAAAGAGAAACAUUCUCUGAGGGCAGAGAUACGGGCGACAGCUGAUGCAUUGGUCCAGAGCCAGGCGGUAUUGGCGGAGAGUCAGGCACACCUGUGAGCUCUGGAACUCCACCUCCGACAGGCAGAGUCAACAUAUGUGUGUUCUCUUGUUUUGUGCUGUUCUGUAGUUUCGACCCAAUGAUUCGUCUGACAAACAAGGACCUUUGUGUACUGCAGGCCCAGGCAUGUAGCUCAGGAACUGAAGCAAGGAUAUUCAUAUUCUUGAUACCAUUUGAAAGGAAACACUUUGAAGUUUGUGGAAAUGUGAAAUGAAUGUAGGAGAAUAUAACACAUUAGAUUUGGUAAAAGAUAAUACAAAGAAAACACCAUGCAUUUUGUGCAUUUUUUUUGUACCACCAUCUUUGAAAUGCAAGAGAAAGGCAAUGUAUUAUUCCAGACAAGGCGCAAUUUAGAUUUUGGCCACUAGAUGGCAGCAGUGUGUUUGCAAAGUUUUAGGCUGAUCCAAUGAGCCAUUGCAAUUCUGUUCAAAAUGUUUUGUCAAGACUGCCCAAAUGUGCCUAAUUGGUUUAUUAAUAUACUUUACAGUUCAUAAC